Long non-coding RNA from Suricata suricatta (meerkat), 881 nucleotides. RefSeq lists it as uncharacterized. The record is from RefSeq and is a predicted model, not a curated record. The transcript has 3 exons. NCBI's taxonomy places the organism in Eukaryota, Metazoa, Chordata, Mammalia, Carnivora, Herpestidae.
UGCGCCCCAAGCCGGCGGCCCCGCCUCCGCCUCUGGCUCCCGCCUUCCCCGCCCCAGGCCGGGCUUCGCUCCUCCCCUCGCGGCCGCCCCCAGCCUGGGCAGGUUCGCUAGGUUCCCACCCCGCCCCUGCGCCGCCGGCGCUGCAGGCUCAGCCGCCUCCCAUUGGCUCCUCCGGUUGCUAGGCGAUGAACAACCGCGGCCUGCAUUGGCCCCCCGAGUCUCCUCCACCCCCUCCAAAAAAACCUAGAGAAAAAGAAAACCUUAUCCCUAGAGCCGGAGAGGGAUGCGGGCGCAGCUGCGGCUGCGGCACCUGUUACGCCCUGUGAUUCACCCGGGCCCUGCUCCCCGCCCCCUCCUUACGCCCGCAGGGCUGGGGCCCCCGGGCUCCGUGGGGGAAGCGGGUCGUGGCUGUUUUAAAGCACGUGUUCCGAACCCCAGUGAACCCCAACACCCACCCUAGAAGCAAAAGUGAAGCAUCCCAGAAGAGCCACGUGCGCUGGCAAAAGUGGAGAAAUAAACCAAACAACAGCCGGCACCCACAAUUAGGGUUCCUAAGAUUUGAGAACUGAUCUAAACCUGUCUUGAUACUCUGUACCCCUUUGUUAACUGGAUUAGGACCUGAGCAUGUGACCUAAUUCUGCUUCCAGUGAGCAAGACCUGUUUGUUUGUACCUGCCGUACAUCCCCCAAUAGUGAAAGAAAAGCAAGAAAAAUACAGGAAAAGCAACCCAGAACCCAGACAUCACUGAGUAGGGCUCUGCCUACCUGCAGAAUGCUCACAUGCUUGUUCACUGAUGUAUCACCAACGCCUGAAAGGCUGCGUGGUACUUAGUGAUUUGUGCUCAAUAUUUAUUUGGUGAAUAAACAAACAUAACUUCAAAA